RNAcentral lists this unclassified non-coding RNA (1157 nucleotides) under Arthroderma chiloniense. RNAcentral's name for it is "sequence contains ITS1, 5.8S rRNA gene, ITS2, 28S rRNA gene". The stretch from base 567 to 1157 matches the Rfam family "Eukaryotic large subunit ribosomal RNA", at positions 1 to 595 of the family's 3401-position model. Lineage: Eukaryota; Fungi; Ascomycota; Eurotiomycetes; Onygenales; Arthrodermataceae. The record is from RNAcentral.
GACGACCGCUCGGGCGCACCCGGCUUGGAAUACAGCCGGGUGCGUUCCUCGAGCGGCCGGCAGUUGCCCAUUCUUGUCUACUGACCCAGUUGCCUCGGCGGGCCGCUCCGCACUCGUGGACGGCCGGACACCCCUGGUCUGCGCCCGCCGGCGGACAUUUAUAAAACCAAUAUUCUUAGGUUGUCUGAGCGUAUAAAGCAAAUCAGUUAAAACUUUCAACAACGGAUCUCUUGGUUCCGGCAUCGAUGAAGAACGCAGCGAAAUGCGAUAAGUAAUGUGAAUUGCAGAAUUCCGUGAAUCAUCGAAUCUUUGAACGCACAUUGCGCCCUCUGGUAUUCCGGGGGGCAUGCCUGUUCGAGCGUCAUUGCAACCCUCAAGCUCGGCUUGUGUGAUGGGCGGCCGUCCAGCCUCCGGGCGAGGACGCGCCCGAAAUGCAGUGGCCAGGCCGCGACUCCGGCGCCUGAGCGAAUGGGAUUUCCAACGCUUCUAGGACCGGCCGGCUCCUGGCCUUUUAACCAGGACGGACUCCCUCCCUCUGGGGCGGGGGUGCGUCUCCUUCUUAAGGUUGACCUCGGAUCAGGUAGGGAUACCCGCUGAACUUAAGCAUAUCAAUAAGCGGAGGAAAAGAAACCAACAGGGAUUGCCCCAGUAACGGCGAGUGAAGCGGCAAAAGCUCAAAUUUGAAAUCUGGCUCCUCCGGGGUCCGAGUUGUAAUUUGUAGAGGAUGCUUCGGGUGCGGCCACGGUCUAAGUUCCUUGGAACAGGACGUCAUAGAGGGUGAGAAUCCCGUCUUGGGCCGUUGGUUCACGCCCGUGUGAAGCUCCUUCGACGAGUCGAGUUGUUUGGGAAUGCAGCUCUAAGCGGGUGGUAAAUUUCAUCUAAAGCUAAAUAUUGGCCGGAGACCGAUAGCGCACAAGUAGAGUGAUCGAAAGGUUAAAAGCACCUUGAAAAGGGAGUUAAACAGCACGUGAAAUUGUUGAAAGGGAAGCGCUUGCGGCCAGACUCGGGCGCGGGGUUCAGCGGGUGCUCGUCACCAGUGUACUCCCCGCCGCCCGGGCCAGCAUCAGUUCUGACGGCCGGUCAAAGGCCUCCGGAAUGUGUCGUCUCUCGGGACGUCUUAUAGCCGGGGGUGCAAUGCGGCCCGUCGGGACUGAGGA